Molecule: ribosomal RNA, 253 nt
Filed under: uncultured bacterium
Lineage: Bacteria
Description: partial 16S ribosomal RNA
Rfam family: Bacterial small subunit ribosomal RNA
Source: RNAcentral
UACGAAGGGGGCUAGCGUUGCUCGGAAUCACUGGGCGUAAAGGGUGCGUAGGCGGGUCUUUAAGUCAGGGGUGAAAUCCUGGAGCUCAACUCCAGAACUGCCUUUGAUACUGGAGAGCUUGAGUCCGGGAGAGGUGAGUGGAACUCCGAGUGUAGAGGUGAAAUUCGUAGAUAUCAGGAAGAACACCCGUGGCGAAGGCGGCUCUCUGGGACGGUACUGACGCUGAGACGCGAAAGCGUGGGGAGCGAACAGG